RNAcentral lists this long non-coding RNA (1365 nucleotides) under Gopherus agassizii (Agassiz's desert tortoise). RNAcentral's name for it is "lncRNA (ENSGAGG00000003313.1)". Lineage: Eukaryota; Metazoa; Chordata; Testudines; Testudinidae. The record is from RNAcentral.
AGCCAAUGCCAGGUGCUUCAAAGGGAAUGAACAGACUAGGCAAUCAAUGGAAUUGUCUCCCUUUCUCUGUUCAGACACAGAACAGAAUGAAACUGAUGGCAGACAACUAUGAUGAUGACCAUCAUCACUUCCACCACCACCAUCACCACCACCACCACCGGUCUCCUGGGAGGACCCAGCACUCGAAUCACCGACCGUCUCCAGAUCAGGAUGAUGAGGAGGGUAUAUGGGCAUAGCCAUUCCUAUAAACGAAAGUUCCAGUUUUAUUCUGAGGGAUGAUCCAGUCACUGUUGGAGGCACAUAGCCAUGGCAAAUCUCACGCUGUACAUUGAUCACCUGUCCAACCUUUGCCUAGAGUGUGAUCCCCAGUUCCUUCAAGAGUUCCAUCUUUACCUGUCCAUAGAGAGGAGGAGGAGAGAGACAUCUGGGAUAACCACACUUCAAAGAUUAACACCAGAGCAGUUGUCAGAGGAGCUGGAGAAAGAGGAGGAAAAAAUGCAGCACUGCAGAAUUAAGCUGAUAAUCUAUUGCAGUCGAUCUCCAAACAUAACCAUGACAUCCUGGAGCAGAUCAUAGAAACAGAAGAUGAAUGCUGAGGUUGUUACCAGAUGAAAUGCUGCAUGAAUUGGUGUCUACUCCAUUAUUUCUUGUAGUCAUUAUGAAGUCAGAUGCUCUGGAAAAUACUGAAGGGGACUCAAUCAGAAAUUACAAAAACUUCAUUUCCGCCUUUAAUGGGUCUUGUGUUCAGAAUAUUAUUAUUUAAUGAAGUUCAGUUAAAUGAAUUCUUUUAACCAAUUUUGAUAAAUUGGUAUUGAUUUUUAAUGUAUAUUUCAGGUUGUGUUAGGUGCAGUAUCUUCAUCUGCUGAUUCUGCCUAGCGUAUUCUACAGUAACACUUCUAAAGUGGACUAGAUUGUCAAAAAGGUAUUAGUACACUAUUAUAUAAUGGAGUCUGCAUUAAUCUUACCCCCAGUUAGAAGUGGGCUUUUCAGAAAAGUAAAAACUAAGCCUUUACCCUCCUCUGUUUUCUUAUAUCUACUGUUACUCAAAUAAUCACAUUUUGAUAACGUAACGAGUAUUAAGCUCUGGGCCAGGUUGGAAAUGAAAUCAAUUUUUGGUACUACUUGCUGUUGGCAAGGAUUAGCCUUAUGAAAAUAUGGUGUGUGUCUCUGACAAUGCAUGGGACAUCUAAAUUGAUCAUCAAUAAUUUACAUACCAAAUAUAUAUAUUAGCGGAUGGUAAAAGCUUGAGGUAUGUAUAUGUACAUAUGUGUAUACAUGCACACGUAUACAGGAGUGGAUCAACCUUUUAACAUCCGAAUGCAUACAGGUAUGUAUUAAUAAAAGCUGGGACUCAUAAAUAUAUCA